AAUCUUGGACUGGAUGAUGUUAGUCACUUAGAACACAUGACAUCCCUCAGGCCAAUUGAU
Molecule: microRNA precursor, 60 nt
Organism: Gadus morhua (Atlantic cod)
Lineage: Eukaryota; Metazoa; Chordata; Actinopteri; Gadiformes; Gadidae
Source: Ensembl